GCUUUGCUGGCUCAGUCAGCAGAGCAUAUGACUCUUGAUCAUAGGAUUGUGAGUUUGAGCCCCAUGUCCAGCA
This 73-nucleotide transfer RNA is filed under the name Mustela putorius furo (domestic ferret). It matches the Rfam family "tRNA". From Rfam's summary of the family: Transfer RNA (tRNA) molecules are approximately 80 nucleotides in length. Their secondary structure includes four short double-helical elements and three loops (D, anti-codon, and T loops). Further hydrogen bonds mediate the characteristic L-shaped molecular structure. tRNAs have two regions of fundamental functional importance: the anti-codon, which is responsible for specific mRNA codon recognition, and the 3' end, to which the tRNAs corresponding amino acid is attached (by aminoacyl-tRNA synthetases). tRNAs cope with the degeneracy of the genetic code in two manners: having more than one tRNA (with a specific anti-codon) for a particular amino acid; and 'wobble' base-pairing, i.e. permitting non-standard base-pairing at the 3rd anti-codon position. Lineage: Eukaryota; Metazoa; Chordata; Mammalia; Carnivora; Mustelidae. The record is from Rfam by way of RNAcentral.